Molecule: ribosomal RNA, 424 nt
Filed under: uncultured bacterium
Lineage: Bacteria
Description: bacterial SSU rRNA
Rfam family: Bacterial small subunit ribosomal RNA
Source: RNAcentral
UGAGGAAUAUUGGUCAAUGGACGAGAGUCUGAACCAGCCAAGUAGCGUGAAGGAUGACUGCCCUAUGGGUUGUAAACUUCUUUUAUAUGGGAAUAAAGUUUUCCACGUGUGGAAUUUUGUAUGUACCAUAUGAAUAAGGAUCGGCUAACUCCGUGCCAGCAGCCGCGGUAAUACGGAGGAUCCGAGCGUUAUCCGGAUUUAUUGGGUUUAAAGGGAGCGUAGGUGGACAGUUAAGUCAGUUGUGAAAGUUUGCGGCUCAACCGUAAAAUUGCAGUUGAUACUGGAUAUCUUGAGUGCAGUUGAGGCAGGCGGAAUUCGUGGUGUAGCGGUGAAAUGCUUAGAUAUCACGAAGAACUCCGAUUGCGAAGGCAGCUCACUGGACUGCAACUGACACUGAUGCUCGAAAGUGUGGGUAUCAAACAGG